RNAcentral lists this long non-coding RNA (1202 nucleotides) under Salmo salar (Atlantic salmon). RNAcentral's name for it is "lncRNA (ENSSSAG00000095533.1)". The record is from RNAcentral. Lineage: Eukaryota; Metazoa; Chordata; Actinopteri; Salmoniformes; Salmonidae.
CCCUUUCUCUCUUUCUCUCCAUUCUAAUCUCCCAUUCUCUCUCUUUCUGUCCAUUUUAAUCUCCUAUCCUCUCUCUUUCUCUCAAUUCUAAUCUCCAGCCUCUCUUUUUCUCUCCAUUCUAACCUCCCAUUCUCUCUCUGUCUCUCUUACUCUCCAUUCUAAUCUACCAUUCUCUCUCUUUCUCUCCAAUCUAAUAUCCUAUCCUCUCCCAUUCUCUCUCUUUCUUUCUAUCCCUCGAUUCUAAUGUCCCAUCUUCUCUCUUUCUUUCUAUCCCUCGAUUCUAAUCUCCCAUCUUCUCUCUUUCUUUCUAUCCCUCGAUUCUAAUCUAUCCUCUCUUUUUCUCUCCAUUCUAAUCUCCCAUCCUUUAUCUUUCUCUCUAUCCCUCCAUUCUAGUCUCCCAUAAUCUCUCUUUCUCUCCAUUAUAAUCUCCUAACCUCUCUCUUUCUCUCCAUUAUAAUCUCCCAUCCUCUCUCUUUCUCUCCAUUAUAAUCUCCUAACCUCUCUCUUUCUCUCCAUUCUAAUCUCCUAUCCUCUCUCUUUCUCUCCAUUAUAAUCUCCUAACCUCUCUCUUUCUCUCCAUUCUAAUCUCACACCAUCUCUCUUUCUAUCCAUUAUAAUCUCCCAUUCUCUCUCUGUCUCUCUUCCUCUCCAUUCUAAUCUUCCAUCAUCUCUCUUUCUCACCAUUCUAAUCUCCCAUCCUUUAUCUUUCUCUCUUUCUCUCCAUUCUAGUCUCCCAUAAUUUCUCUUUCAAUCCAUUCUAAUCUCCCAUCCAACCCCUUUUCUCUCUCUCACUUUCUCUUCUCAAUCUCACUGUCUCUUUUUCUCCCUCACUCAAACUGCUGAGGCCAAGAAUAAUACACUACAAAUAUAACAUGUUUCUCUGCGGUAAAUUGGCUGACAAUUUUCUCUGCAUUAGUCUAAUAAUCUUUUUUUUUUUUAAAGAGUGAAAUGACUCUCUUAUGUCUUAUGAGCCUUCCGAAUAUAAUAUAAUAAUCAAUGUUGUUUUCAAAACAACUGGUAAGACUUAAGGUAAGGGUUGACAUAUGGUUCAAACAGAAACAACUUGAUUGUAAAGCUUAGUUAUUAAUUCUGACUGGUUAAGGUAAGGGUUAAGUUUAGGCAUUGAUUCUGACUGGUUAAGGUAAGGGUUAAAUUUAGGCAUUUAUUCUGACUGGUUAAGGUAAGGGUUAAGUUUAGGCAUU